This is a long non-coding RNA of Elaeis guineensis (African oil palm), 1010 nucleotides long. RefSeq lists it as uncharacterized. NCBI's taxonomy places the organism in Eukaryota, Viridiplantae, Streptophyta, Magnoliopsida, Arecales, Arecaceae. The record is from RefSeq and is a predicted model, not a curated record.
AAGUGGACUAAUGUUCCCCAUAUUUAUCAUCGACUGAACAAAGCUCUGGAAGAAGGUGCCCUGGCUGUUCGCAAAGCUGUUAACAAUCGAAGCGGUGGGAGCUCCACUUGUUGAGAGGAGCUCUUGGUCUGACUGUAGAAGCCCUCGGUUGCCCUGAAGGUUGUUGAAGUAGUUCUUGUCGAAGGUGUUCGGUGUCGUCGGGUCGAGAUUGUUGAGAGUGCUGCCAGGCCCUCCCUGAGGGCAGUUCUGCUGCAGUGUGCUCCGGUAAGAGGGGUUCAAGGUUGAGUCCGGUCUGCCGCCACUGAAGUUAUAGAGACGAUUGCUGAAGGAUUUGCAUUGUGCUCGACCAAAGGCAACGAGAUCAGUAUUGCCGAGGCCGACAGCGGAGAAUUUGGACUGCAGUGUACUUAAGGGAUCGAAGGGGCUGGGGAGGUUGUUGGCAGCGUUUCUGUUGGCAGUGGUGCCAUCCCUUCUUCCGAGUAACACAGACCAUGAGGGACCUCCUGACUGUGAACAAUGUUUGGUAGCUUUCAAUGCAUUGCGUCUCCUACGAUGGAGACUGGUCCGGGGACUGCUUGGGUGGAGGCGUUUCUAUUUUUGUAGACGGGCGAUGUCAACGUGGCAUGGGAAUCUCGUUCAAGAAAGUCAGGCGUCCAGCGCAACUAUUGCUCCACUGUGGCACGCUGUGCUUGCCAAUUCACAAUUAGUAACACGAGAGGUCCACACCAGCUGGAUGACCUUUUUUUUUUUAUACAAAAUAAAAAAGAUAUAUAUUUGCUGGUCAUCAGAUGGUUAGAAUAGUUAAAUCUAUUAUUCUCUGGUUAGCUUUUUAGUAUUAUUAUGGCCAAUCUCCUAUUACGCUUAUCGUCGGUGAAAAGCACCUGUAAAACAAAGUCCUCACAGACCGAAAUUAUGUUCGGCGGAAAUCCUCCGAUACUUAAGUCAGAGAGGGAGUUGGUGAACGACAGAUAAAGAGAAUUUAAAAUGACAGAAUCUUCGUUCAGAAUUGU